RNAcentral lists this ribosomal RNA (707 nucleotides) under Bacillus siamensis. RNAcentral's name for it is "bacterial SSU rRNA". It matches the Rfam family "Bacterial small subunit ribosomal RNA", at positions 63 to 749 of the family's 1533-position model. Lineage: Bacteria; Bacillati; Bacillota; Bacilli; Caryophanales; Bacillaceae. The record is from RNAcentral.
CGAGCGGACAGAUGGGAGCUUGCUCCCUGAUGUUAGCGGCGGACGGGUGAGUAACACGUGGGUAACCUGCCUGUAAGACUGGGAUAACUCCGGGAAACCGGGGCUAAUACCGGAUGGUUGUUUGAACCGCAUGGUUCAGACAUAAAAGGUGGCUUCGGCUACCACUUACAGAUGGACCCGCGGCGCAUUAGCUAGUUGGUGAGGUAACGGCUCACCAAGGCGACGAUGCGUAGCCGACCUGAGAGGGUGAUCGGCCACACUGGGACUGAGACACGGCCCAGACUCCUACGGGAGGCAGCAGUAGGGAAUCUUCCGCAAUGGACGAAAGUCUGACGGAGCAACGCCGCGUGAGUGAUGAAGGUUUUCGGAUCGUAAAGCUCUGUUGUUAGGGAAGAACAAGUGCCGUUCAAAUAGGGCGGCACCUUGACGGUACCUAACCAGAAAGCCACGGCUAACUACGUGCCAGCAGCCGCGGUAAUACGUAGGUGGCAAGCGUUGUCCGGAAUUAUUGGGCGUAAAGGGCUCGCAGGCGGUUUCUUAAGUCUGAUGUGAAAGCCCCCGGCUCAACCGGGGAGGGUCAUUGGAAACUGGGGAACUUGAGUGCAGAAGAGGAGAGUGGAAUUCCACGUGUAGCGGGUGAAAUGCGUAAAGAUGUGGAGGAACACCAGUGGGCGAAGGCGACUCUCUGGGUCUGUAACUGACGCUGA